CCAACGAACACCAUACAACCUCCACGCCGUAACAUCUAAACCAUCAAUCGUCUUCCCCAUUUCAUCCGCCGAAAUACACCGAUUAACCUCCGCCUUGCAAAACCCCCAAAUCCUCACUUCAUUUCGUCCCUUUCGAAAUUCACAAAAAAAACCUUUCCGACGAACGUUACAUCGUCACCGUCGCGUUUGAGUUGCAGUUCUGUUUGGUUUAUACCUUGUUUUUAGUUUUCAAUGAACCUUAAAGCAAUUUCCAGGAAGGCUAUUGAACCUGUACAAGUGGGAGAAACAUAUGAGCUGUUGUGAAUUGCACUUGAAGGCCACGGGUAGAAACUCAGUUUCGAAGGGACGUCCCAAACAGCGAAGGAAGGACGAUACGCCCCAACAGACUCAGAGCAGCGGACAGAAAGUGAUAGCUUGGUCGAUUUGGGAUUAAAUUUGUUUAUAGUUACGGUAACAGUCCGUGUCGUGUUUCUUCUUGAUAUUAUGCUGUUUGCUACAGCCACUGUUUUGAUUCAAACUCGGUUGCAUUAGUCCAUGUUGGUUGUUGGUAUUAGAAUGUUGUAAUGCUCUUUUCUAGGAUAUUCCCAAUGCGAUUGUGCUGUUGUCGUUAUGUGUUGAAGUUGUCGUGUUUAUUACAAGAUUAAUUGAGGAUUUGAUUUCAUACUGUUAUCAAUUGUUUUGUUUGUUGACAUCUUUGGGUAAAACACUAGGAGAAGUUGUAUGUAUUAAAUGAGAGCUUCAGAAUUAAAGUUUAAACUUAUUAUACAUUGCA
Molecule: long non-coding RNA, 772 nt
Organism: Lathyrus oleraceus (garden pea)
Lineage: Eukaryota; Viridiplantae; Streptophyta; Magnoliopsida; Fabales; Fabaceae
Exons: 2
Source: RefSeq, a predicted model, not a curated record